This 1543-nucleotide ribosomal RNA is filed under the name Klebsiella pneumoniae. RNAcentral's name for it is "bacterial SSU rRNA". It matches the Rfam family "Bacterial small subunit ribosomal RNA". Lineage: Bacteria; Pseudomonadati; Pseudomonadota; Gammaproteobacteria; Enterobacterales; Enterobacteriaceae. The record is from RNAcentral.
AAAUUGAAGAGUUUGAUCAUGGCUCAGAUUGAACGCUGGCGGCAGGCCUAACACAUGCAAGUCGAGCGGUAGCACAGAGAGCUUGCUCUCGGGUGACGAGCGGCGGACGGGUGAGUAAUGUCUGGGAAACUGCCUGAUGGAGGGGGAUAACUACUGGAAACGGUAGCUAAUACCGCAUAAUGUCGCAAGACCAAAGUGGGGGACCUUCGGGCCUCAUGCCAUCAGAUGUGCCCAGAUGGGAUUAGCUAGUAGGUGGGGUAACGGCUCACCUAGGCGACGAUCCCUAGCUGGUCUGAGAGGAUGACCAGCCACACUGGAACUGAGACACGGUCCAGACUCCUACGGGAGGCAGCAGUGGGGAAUAUUGCACAAUGGGCGCAAGCCUGAUGCAGCCAUGCCGCGUGUGUGAAGAAGGCCUUCGGGUUGUAAAGCACUUUCAGCGGGGAGGAAGGCGGUGAGGUUAAUAACCUCAUCGAUUGACGUUACCCGCAGAAGAAGCACCGGCUAACUCCGUGCCAGCAGCCGCGGUAAUACGGAGGGUGCAAGCGUUAAUCGGAAUUACUGGGCGUAAAGCGCACGCAGGCGGUCUGUCAAGUCGGAUGUGAAAUCCCCGGCUCAACCGGGAACUGCAUUCGAAACUGGCAGGCUAGAGUCUUGUAGAGGGGUAGAAUUCCGUGUAGCGGUGAAAUGCGUAGAGAUCUGGAGGAAUACCGGUGGCGAAGGCGGCCCCCUGGACAAAGACUGACGCUCAGGUGCGAAAGCGUGGGGAGCAAACAGGAUUAGAUACCCUGGUAGUCCACGCCGUAAACGAUGUCGAUUUGGAGGUUGUGCCCUUGAGGUGUGGCUUCCGGAGCUAACGCGUUAAAUCGACCGCCCGGGAGUACGGCCGCAAGGUUAAAACUCAAAUGAAUUGACGGGGGCCCGCACAAGCGGUGGAGCAUGUGGUUUAAUUCGAUGCAACGCGAAGAACCUUACCUGGUCUUGACAUCCACAGAACUUUCCAGAGAUGGAUUGGUGCCUUCGGGAACUGUGAGACAGGUGCUGCAUGGCUGUCGUCAGCUCGUGUUGUGAAAUGUUGGGUUAAGUCCCGCAACGAGCGCAACCCUUAUCCUUUGUUGCCAGCGGUCCGGCCGGGAACUCAAAGGAGACUGCCAGUGAUAAACUGGAGGAAGGUGGGGAUGACGUCAAGUCAUCAUGGCCCUUACGACCAGGGCUACACACGUGCUACAAUGGCAUAUACAAAGAGAAGCGACCUCGCGAGAGCAAGCGGACCUCAUAAAGUAUGUCGUAGUCCGGAUUGGAGUCUGCAACUCGACUCCAUGAAGUCGGAAUCGCUAGUAAUCGUAGAUCAGAAUGCUACGGUGAAUACGUUCCCGGGCCUUGUACACACCGCCCGUCACACCAUGGGAGUGGGUUGCAAAAGAAGUAGGUAGCUUAACCUUCGGGAGGGCGCUUACCACUUUGUGAUUCAUGACUGGGGUGAAGUCGUAACAAGGUAACCGUAGGGGAACCUGCGGUUGGAUCACCUCCUUACCUUAAAGAA